AAAAAUUUGUAAAAAUGGAAUAUGAAGAAAUUGGACCAAAGGAAGGGAAAGACGAAGAAGGAAAUGAUGGGAAAGGCCUUGAGAAGCGAUCAAAAGUAAAAGAAAUCACAAGAACAGUCAUUGAUUAAAUGGGCCAGAGCACCCAUCCCAGAAGAUGGCUGGCAUGACACCAAGAGAAACAUAUGUCACCAUCUUCCAGAGAGGCAGAGCUCAGGCACCUGAAGCAUGAAGUCUAAUGUCCAGAGCCAUUUGCAUUUACUGUCUCCAGUGCUGUUUCUCAGCCAUAUCUUCCACAUAAUACAGACUCCGUCCUCCAGAGCGUAGGGACCUGAACAUGCAAACUGGGCAGGGAACAAACACCAGGGCUCAUUCGGCCCAGUGUGCUUGCGUAACACCCGAACCACUUCUACCUUCAGUUCCAAUUGGAAAAUGAAUUUCUCAGUUACUUAUCAACUUAAAUGAUGUGCUCCUCGUCCCCUGCCCUCCUCUCUCUUCUCUCAGAGCCUCAGACUAAGUGAAAAUAUUCCCCUCAGCAUUUGCUGUCUGCUUUCAAGGCUCUUCUAGACGACCUGCCCAUGCUCAGCUUUGGAGGUAUCUUUUAAAGAAUUGUUUCUGGGGCCGGCCCCAUGGCAGAGUGGCUAAGUUUGCGUCCUCUGCUUCAACGGCUCAGGGUUUCACGGGUUUGGAUCCCGGGUGCGGACAUGGACAUGGCACCGCUCUUUGGGCCAUGCUGAGGCAGCAUCCCACAUAGCAGAGCCAAGAGGACCUACAACUAGAAUGCACAAUUAUGUUCUCGGGGGCUUCAGGGAGAAGAAGAGAAAAAAAGAAAAGACAAAGAAGAUUGGCAACAGAUGUUAGCUCAAGUGCCAAUCUUUAAAAAAAAAAGAAAAAAGAAAAUUGUUUCUCUUGUAGUGAUGGAAAUAUUUAUUUGAAGUUCAGCAGUUCUUCUGUUUCACAUCUAUUAAAAUAAACUAAAAUUAAGUUUAAUUCCUUUAAUUUAAAAAGCAUCUAUGGUGUAAGCUCAUUUUUUAAAAAUGUAUUCUAUCUAUUUUUCUAACUCCACAUUUGCAUUUAAAAAGAUGCUUUGGAUAACAAAGGGUGUUUGGUUGUGUUAUCCUAAAUAAAGAAUAGAAUUUCAGGAUAGAGGGAUUUGAGCUAUUUCUAUAUUUCUAAUUCUUUUUAC
This 1183-nucleotide long non-coding RNA is filed under the name Equus asinus (donkey). RNAcentral describes it as "lncRNA (ENSEASG00005029042.1)". Lineage: Eukaryota; Metazoa; Chordata; Mammalia; Perissodactyla; Equidae. The record is from RNAcentral.